GAUGAACGCUGGCGGCGUGCCUAAUACAUGCAAGUCGAGCGAACAGACGGGGAGCUUGCUCCUCUGACGUUAGCGGCGGACGGGUGAGUAACACGUGGAUAACCUACCUAUAAGACUGGGAUAACUUCGGGAAACCGGAGCUAAUACCGGAUAAUAUAUUGAACCGCAUGGUUCAAUAGUGAAAGACGGUUUUGCUGUCACUUAUAGAUGGAUCCGCGCCGCAUUAGCUAGUUGGUAAGGUAACGGCUUACCAAGGCAACGAUGCGUAGCCGACCUGAGAGGGUGAUCGGCCACACUGGAACUGAGACACGGUCCAGACUCCUACGGGAGGCAGCAGUAGGGAAUCUUCCGCAAUGGGCGAAAGCUUGACGGAGCAACGCCGCGUGAGUGAUGAAGGUCUUCGGAUCGUAAAACUCUGUUAUUAGGGAAGAACAAAUGUGUAAGUAACUGUGCACGUCUUGACGGUACCUAAUCAGAAAGCCACGGCUAACUACGUG
RNAcentral lists this ribosomal RNA (497 nucleotides) under uncultured bacterium. RNAcentral's name for it is "partial 16S ribosomal RNA". It matches the Rfam family "Bacterial small subunit ribosomal RNA", at positions 28 to 507 of the family's 1533-position model. The record is from RNAcentral.